This 511-nucleotide long non-coding RNA is filed under the name Nicotiana benthamiana. RNAcentral's name for it is "long non-coding RNA (NBEN_LNC030249)". The record is from RNAcentral. Lineage: Eukaryota; Viridiplantae; Streptophyta; Magnoliopsida; Solanales; Solanaceae.
UGAAGCUCUCAUAAACCCUAGACACCACCAUCCAAUGCCACCCUAUUAUACUCCAAACCCUACCUAAUCCAUGGCCUCCCAUGGCCAUUGGAGAUUUGUAAUGGCCUCAUAUGGCUCCUGGUGUUCGUUUCUGUGGUUUCAUGGCCAGACCUCGAAGGAAUUGGUCCAGUCUUUUCCUGACUUCGAUUCAUUGCCUUUCUACGGUCAUCCUUGACUUUUCUCCGGCCAGUCGUGAUCGUUCGAGUUAGAUCCUAGACUCUCCUGGUUAGAUCGUUAAUUUUCAAAGCCUUUAUCACCUUUCUGGGUUUUUCAAUAUCCUAAUCUUUGGGAUUUUUGAUUUUUUCUUUCAGAUCUACUUUAGAUCUGUAAUUGCCAUGAAUGUUUUAAGUGUUUUCUAGAAAGUUCUUCAACUUUUCUUACAAAACGACCCUUCCUUAGGGUUUUCCUUUAAGUUUUUCAAAGAUCUUUGAUUUUAACAUGUUUGUGAUUUGCCUAUGAUUUGCUCAUGACG